AUGAACGCUGACAGAAUGCUUAACACAUGCAAGUCAACUUGAAUUUGGGUUUUUAACUUAGGUUUGGGUGGCGGACGGGUGAGUAACGCGUAAAGAACUUGCCUCACAGCUAGGGACAACAUUUGGAAACGAAUGCUAAUACCUAAUAUUAUGAUAAUAGGGCAUCCUAUAAUUAUGAAAGCUAUAAGCGCUGUGAGAGAGCUUUGCGUCCCAUUAGCUAGUUGGAGAGGUAACGGCUCACCAAGGCGAUGAUGGGUAGCCGGUCUGAGAGGGUGAUCGGCCACAAGGGGACUGAGACACGGCCCUUACUCCUACGGGAGGCAGCAGUGGGGAAUAUUGGACAAUGGACCGAGAGUCUGAUCCAGCAAUUCUGUGUGCACGAUGAAGUUUUUCGGAAUGUAAAGCGCUUUCAGUUGGGAAGAAACAAAUGACGGUACCAACAGAAGAAGUGACGGCUAAAUACGUG
Molecule: ribosomal RNA, 466 nt
Filed under: uncultured bacterium
Lineage: Bacteria
Description: partial 16S ribosomal RNA
Rfam family: Bacterial small subunit ribosomal RNA
Source: RNAcentral